GGCUACCUGGCGCAAUGGUAGCGCGUUUGGCUUCGAUCGCCAACGGCACCAAAAGGUUGCAGGUUCGAGUCCUGCGGUGGUCA
Non-coding RNA from Russula vinacea, 83 nucleotides. The record is from the annotation of a GenBank genome assembly. Lineage: Eukaryota; Fungi; Basidiomycota; Agaricomycetes; Russulales; Russulaceae.